UACGUAGGGUGCAAGCGUUAAUCGGAAUUACUGGGCGUAAAGCGUGCGCAGGCGGUUAUGCAAGACAGAGGUGAAAUCCCCGGGCUCAACCUGGGAACUGCCUUUGUGACUGCAUAGCUAGAGUACGGCAGAGGGGGAUGGAAUUCCGCGUGUAGCAGUGAAAUGCGUAGAUAUGCGGAGGAACACCGAUGGCGAAGGCAAUCCCCUGGGCCUGUACUGACGCUCAUGCACGAAAGCGUGGGGAGCAAACAGC
This 253-nucleotide ribosomal RNA is filed under the name uncultured bacterium. Its description in RNAcentral is "partial 16S ribosomal RNA". It matches the Rfam family "Bacterial small subunit ribosomal RNA", at positions 524 to 776 of the family's 1533-position model. The record is from RNAcentral.